This 1053-nucleotide ribosomal RNA is filed under the name uncultured Actinomycetes bacterium. Its description in RNAcentral is "bacterial SSU rRNA". It matches the Rfam family "Bacterial small subunit ribosomal RNA", at positions 61 to 1119 of the family's 1533-position model. Lineage: Bacteria; Bacillati; Actinomycetota; Actinomycetes. The record is from RNAcentral.
GUCGGACGGCAGCAGCCCCGGGUAACCGGGGGCUGGCGAGUGGCGCACGGGUGCGUAACGCGUAUGCAACCUACCUUUUACAGGGGGAUAGCCCGGGGAAACCCGGAUUAAUACCCCAUGCCACCUUUCCCCCGCCUGGGGGGCAGGUGAAAGAUUUAUCGGUAAAAGAUGGGCAUGCGUCCCAUUAGCUGGUUGGUGGUGUAACGGACCACCAAGGCAAUGAUGGGUAGGGGGUCUGAGAGGAUGGUCCCCCACACUGGCACUGAGAUACGGGCCAGACUCCUACGGGAGGCAGCAGUAGGGAAUAUUGGUCAAUGGGCGGGAGCCUGAACCAGCCAUGCCGCGUGCAGGAAGACGGCCUUCUGGGUUGUAAACUGCUUUUUUCAGGGAAGAAAAGACCCAUGCGUGGGGCAUUGACGGUACCUGAAGAAUAAGCCCCGGCCAACUACGUGCCAGCAGCCGCGGUAAUACGUAGGGGGCGAGCGUUGUCCGGAAUUAUUGGGCGUAAAGAGCUCGUAGGCGGUCCGUCGAGUCGGAUGUGAAAUCUCACAGCUUAACUGUGAAAUUGCAUCUGAUACUGGCGGACUUGAGGCAGGUAGGGGAAGGUGGAAUUCCUGGUGUAGCGGUGAAAUGCGCAGAUAUCAGGAGGAACACCGGUGGCGAAGGCGGCCUUCUGGGCCUGUUCUGACGCUGAGGAGCGAACGCGUGGGGAGCGAACAGGAUUAGAUACCCUGGUAGUCCACGCCGUAAACGAUGGAUGCUAGGUGUGGGGAGUUAUCCACUCUUUCCGUGCCGCAGCUAACGCAGUAAGCAUCCCGCCUGGGGAUUACGACCGCAAGGUUAAAACUCAAAGGAAUUGACGGGGGCCCGCACAAGCGGCGGAGCAUGUGGCUUAAUUCGACGCAACGCGAAGAACUUACCAGGCCUUGAAAUAUGCACUAAAGCGCAAAGAUGUGUGUCUUCGGGGCGUUUAACGGUGGUGCAUGGUGUCGUCAGCUCGUGCCGUGAGGUGGUGGUAUUCCCGCACGAGGGCCAACCUUGCCCAUGGUGCCC